RNAcentral lists this transfer RNA (76 nucleotides) under Salinibacillus aidingensis. Its description in RNAcentral is "tRNA-His". It matches the Rfam family "tRNA". Rfam says of the family: Transfer RNA (tRNA) molecules are approximately 80 nucleotides in length. Their secondary structure includes four short double-helical elements and three loops (D, anti-codon, and T loops). Further hydrogen bonds mediate the characteristic L-shaped molecular structure. tRNAs have two regions of fundamental functional importance: the anti-codon, which is responsible for specific mRNA codon recognition, and the 3' end, to which the tRNAs corresponding amino acid is attached (by aminoacyl-tRNA synthetases). tRNAs cope with the degeneracy of the genetic code in two manners: having more than one tRNA (with a specific anti-codon) for a particular amino acid; and 'wobble' base-pairing, i.e. permitting non-standard base-pairing at the 3rd anti-codon position. The record is from RNAcentral. RNAcentral also lists the same sequence under 1 other name. Lineage: Bacteria; Bacillati; Bacillota; Bacilli; Caryophanales; Bacillaceae.
GCGGCUGUGGCGAAGUGGUUAACGCACCGGAUUGUGGCUCCGGCAUCCGUGGGUUCGAUUCCCACCAGUCGCCCCA